RNAcentral lists this transfer RNA (73 nucleotides) under Echinostoma caproni. It matches the Rfam family "tRNA". From Rfam's summary of the family: Transfer RNA (tRNA) molecules are approximately 80 nucleotides in length. Their secondary structure includes four short double-helical elements and three loops (D, anti-codon, and T loops). The record is from Rfam by way of RNAcentral. Lineage: Eukaryota; Metazoa; Platyhelminthes; Trematoda; Plagiorchiida; Echinostomatidae.
GGCCUCGUAGAUCAGCUGGUAGAGCAUGCGCGUACAAAGCGUCCAUGUGAGGGUUCGAAUCCCACCGAGGCCA